AAAGGAAUAGACGGGGGCCCGCACAAGCGGUGGAUUAUGUGGUUUAAUUCGAAGCAACGCGCAGAACCUUACCUAGGCUUGAAAUCCCACGAAUCCCUUUUAAACGAGGGAGUGCUCUUCGGAGAAUGUGGUGACAGGCGCUGCAUGGCUGUCGUCAGCUCGUGUCGUGAGAUGUUGGGUUAAGUCUCGCAACGAGCGCAACCCCCAUUUUUAGUUGCCAGCAUUAAGUUGGGCACUCUAGAAAGACUGCCUGGGCUAACCAGGAGGAAGGUGGGGAUGACGUCAAGUCCUCAUGGCCCUUAUGUCUAGGGCUACACACGUAAUACAAUGGUCGGUACAGAGGGAUGCGAACUCGCGAGGGGGAGCAAAUCUCAAAAAACCGAUCUCAGUCCGGAUUGGAGUCUGCAACUCGACUCCAUGAAGUUGGAAUCGCUAGUAAUCGCGGAUCAGCACGCCGCGGUGAAUACGUUCCCGGGCCUUGUACACACCGCCCGU
Molecule: ribosomal RNA, 495 nt
Filed under: uncultured bacterium
Lineage: Bacteria
Description: bacterial SSU rRNA
Rfam family: Bacterial small subunit ribosomal RNA
Source: RNAcentral